Molecule: long non-coding RNA, 473 nt
Filed under: Setaria viridis
Lineage: Eukaryota; Viridiplantae; Streptophyta; Magnoliopsida; Poales; Poaceae
Description: long non-coding RNA (SVIR_LNC004479)
Source: RNAcentral
CAAUAAGACUCACGGUUACCUACAGGUUACAAGCAGAUCUUCAAGCAAAGUUGAUCAUCAUGAAUGUUGGGAGUGAUCAAGAUUAUAGAUGCGUACGAAUAAUAUAGGUGUUGUAGAUACUUUAUUAUUGGGAGUCAUGUGGAUGAAUGGACAAGAGUAUUUUCAUAUGCUGAAUAUUCUAUUUUAUCAUGAAUGGUGUGCGUGAAUGAUGGAUUGAUUUAAUUAAUGAUAUAUAUGUGGCAUCAAUUUUUAUUUUGGAUCUUCCAUUGUAUUAAAAAAUAAGCAAAUGCCGACGACCAACAUUUUCAUUGUGCUACCCCACAAGCAUAUGACGACGACAUAUUUUCCGUUGUGAUAUCCAUUGAGUGUAUAACCACAACCCUUAUUGCGUUGCACUACCCUGUACGCAUAUAACCAUGACAUAUUUCGUUGCGAUAUGCUUGAAGCAUAUAACGACGGCACAUACCUCACUG